Molecule: long non-coding RNA, 1356 nt
Organism: Ruditapes philippinarum (Manila clam)
Lineage: Eukaryota; Metazoa; Mollusca; Bivalvia; Venerida; Veneridae
Exons: 2
Source: RefSeq, a predicted model, not a curated record
UCAUAAUGAACAAUAAUUCUCUAAAGUGAUGUAAUCUUAACAUGAUGGUUCCUUUUCUCAUGACACAGGUCAAAAAUCAAAGCUCAGUGACAGACUGAGGUUUAUAUGAAACAUGUAAAACUCAUUGACAGAGGUUUAUAUGAAACAUGUAAAACUUGGUGACAAAGGUUUAUAUGAAACAUGUAAAACUCUGUGACAGAGGAUUAUAUGAGAUUUGAAAACUCAAUGAAAGAGGUUUAUAUGAAACAUGUAAAACUGGUUGACCAUAUAUGAAUCUUACACCGGCUGUCGGGUGCAGAAGGGAAUAUCUAGCUCGAGAGUGACUGUUUACGGCGGUAACUAGGCUCUGCCGAGUUACCUCUAAACAGUUACCCGAGAGCUAGAUAUUCCCUUCUGCACCCGACAGCCGGUGUUUGAUUCUUUUUCUUGCAUAUUACAUAUCAAUUAUUUUCAGAACAGAAAUUACGAAGACUGAUCUUUUCAUUACGCACUUUUUUCUUAUAGUAGCCUAUGAACUUACAACUCCAGUCAUAAUGGUUAAGUGACGUCAUCAUAAGAACGAAAUUCAUUCACAGGACACAGGUCAAAAAUCAAACCUCAGUGACAAAGGUUUAUAUGAAACAUGUAAAACUCGAUGACAGAGGUUUAUAUGAAACAUGUAAAACUUGGUGACCAAGGUUUAUAUGAAACAUGUAAAACUCAGUGACCAAGGUUUAUAUGAAACAUGUAAAACUCAGUGACAAAGGUUUAUAUGAAACAUGUAAAACUCAGUGACAAAGGUUUAUAUGAAACAUGUAAAACUCAGUGACAGAGGUUUAUAUGAAACAUGUAAAACUCAGUGACAAAGGUUUAUAUGAAACAUGUAAAACUCAGUGACAAAGAUUUAUAUGAAACAUGUAAAACUCAGUGACCAAGGUUUAUAUGAAACAUGUAAAACUCAGUGACAGAGGUUUAUAUGAAACAUGUAAAACUCGGUGACAAAGGUUAUAUGAAACAUGUAAAAUAAAUAGUUUAUCAUAUCAUAUAUCACAGAAUUGUUGCAUGAUUUACAUAUAGGUAUGAUCUGUUUAUUGCCACAUGUAGAAACUCUACAUCUUUGAAGCAUGUUUACUAUGUAUGGGAUAGUUUCUUUUUAGUUCAAACGCAACUUUGUUGACUGUCAUAUGGAAGCAGCCUUCACAUUAGUCCAACUAAUUGUUAACUCAGAAUUACAAAUCAAUGAAAUGGAAAUUGGCACUACUAAAAUGUUUGUUUUCCCAAUUUUAAAACAGCAAGAAGAUAUCUUUCAAAUUUGAAAUUCAGUUUGAAACUAAAAAUUAACUGUAAACUUAACUUUUUACAUCAGCAAAACAGAAA